This is a non-coding RNA of Ictidomys tridecemlineatus (thirteen-lined ground squirrel), 841 nucleotides long. Lineage: Eukaryota; Metazoa; Chordata; Mammalia; Rodentia; Sciuridae. The record is from RefSeq and is a predicted model, not a curated record.
UCAAAGUUCUCUCUGAUACGUACUCACAUCAGACCAGCAGAACAUUCCUCUCUGUGGGGUCAAUGGUGUCAUUCCCUGAGUGUUCACAGCUAGAUAUGGCAUGAUAAAGAAGGAAGAAUGAGGAAUGAAGACAAUUUAAUUGUACCACAGCAGAAUCUGCAUGCAGGUUGAACGGAGUCAUGCUUUUCAAACCUCCAAAGAUAAUAAUGCUAGAAAAACACCAGAUCCUUAAAGGGAAUACUCUUACCUCUCUGUUGGGUAAAGUAAGGUUUCCACUGCAUGCAGAGCGACAGAUUGCAAGCACAACAUCAACCAGCUCACCUGAACAUUUCCCCUGCAGGUUUGCAUCUAGCUGGAUGGUUAUGUUAUUACAGAGAGAGUCCCUAGGAAGCAGGACUGGGACCCUGUCUGCAUUACUGUGUCACCUCUUCACACCUGAGGAACCAGCCCAUUCCCUGCAUUCUUUUGUUUCUUGAUGUUUCUGAACUUGCUUGUAAUCUCCAAGCCAAGUUGAUUUUAAAUUUACUUCAUUCUUCAGAUUAUUACAUGAGUUCUAUAUUUGUCAACUUAAAGAUACACCGGUCAAAUAUUAAAAAGUCUAAGUAACAUCCUGGAAUGCACUGAAAACAAAGCAUGCUGAGACUGCCAGAAGUUAUUAUAUCAAUAACGGAUACUUGGGAGAUGCAUCCAGUGAGUCCACUGAUCUGGGGGGCAAUCCAGUUGUGGAAUUUGUGUUGGAAGCAACUACUAUAUCCAGCUGAAAAUCAAGCCUAAGAUUUUUAUCUGAUUCUCUUAUUUUUAUUUAAGAAAGUGUUAAAUAAACAUUUCCCCCCUCUCCUAA